This is a long non-coding RNA of Ostrea edulis (European flat oyster), 1339 nucleotides long. RefSeq lists it as uncharacterized. The record is from RefSeq and is a predicted model, not a curated record. The transcript is spliced from 5 exons. Lineage: Eukaryota; Metazoa; Mollusca; Bivalvia; Ostreida; Ostreidae.
UAUACUAAACACAUUAUCAUCUCAUUUUCUAUUUUGCCUCAGCAUGGGAAUGUUUUAUAAUCUGCAAACAACUUUUCGUUGUUGUCUACAGAUAACAUGGGAAAAUCUAUUAUUUCUUUCAGGCUUGACGUGUUUGAGAUGCUCAGAUAUCACAGAACCCAGAUUGUGUAAUAAGAUCGAACACUGUAAUGAAGGAGAGGUAAAAUUAAACAGUUAAAAGUAAUCCUAACAUUGGUUUGUGAUGUUUAGGAGGUUCACUGAUUUGACAUUUAUUCGGACAGGUGUGCGCAGUACAGCAGUAUCGAGCAGGUAAUGGAGAUGUUGGCUAUUGGACAGGAUGUUAUCCACUAAAGGUUGGUCUCCAAACCGAUUAAAAGACUAUUUAAAUCCUAAUGACAUUGAACAAAGUCUUCUGGUUUGAAAUAUUAUCCGCUUGACGUUCAAUCUAGCGUUAACAGCUACAGUGACAAGGGAUUUGGUUUUUAUGCCACAAAAUCGCCUGUUAUUUCACCUUUUAAAAAUUCUGAGCAUUUGGUGAAGAAAGUUUCACAUACUCUUUGGUUUUCUUUGCUUCUUAAAAAUUCUCACAGUGUGAUCCUAGCAAGAUUCGAACUUCUGAAAACGGUGCAAACCAUCCACCGUCUGCCGUAGUCAUCACAGCAUUUGAUGUAAUGUAAGAUCUUUAGUAUACAUUUGAUGUAUUGUAACAUCUUUAGUAUUCAUAUUUUGAAUGCAUGGAUACAUUGUUUUAUCAACAAAGGUACCAAGCAUCAAACAGGAAGAGGAAAAUAUCCCACAAAGAUUCUGUUAUUAUUUCGACAUCCGAACAUUACUAGAAGUUUCUAAAGAAUGUGCUGCUGUAGACAAUAGAACCGUUAUAACCACCAAACGGAGUCAGUAUAUUGACGGCGUUGUACAGUGUAGGGACUGCUGUACCACAGAUAUAUGUAACGCCUACGGAUGCGGAACUCCUAAGUACCCCGAUACUCGAGGCCCUAUCUGCUUUGACUGUGAGGAUGUUGCGGAUCCAACGGACUGUCAUACCAUCACUCCGUGUGACCUCAAUCAGGUAUGUCUUGAUACAACUUAUUAGUCCCCUAUCGACGGAGUCGAAGGGGACAUCAGAAAUGCAUGAUACACGAGAGGACUGCCUUUGGGCAAAAGUAUUUCACUUCCAAGUGUGAAUCUGUUAUGGCAUGUUUUGUACAUUUUACUGGACCGGUCGUCGGCAGGAAGCGAGAUCUAAACGGGGUGUGUCUUCACUGCUGUGACGGGGAUCUCUGUAAUACUAACUGUUCUUCAGCAUCUAGCGCCACAAUCAACAAACCCAAUGUCCCAG